UACGGGGGGGGCAGGCGUUGUUCGGAAUUACUGGGCGUAAAGGGCUCGUAGGCGGCCAACUAAGUCAUACGUGAAAUCCCUCGGCUUAACCGGGGAACUGCGUCUGAUACUGGAUGGCUUGAGUUCGGGAGAGGGAUGCGGAAUUCCAGGUGUAGCGGUGAAAUGCGUAGAUAUCUGGAGGAACACCGGUGGCGAAGGCGGCAUCCUGGACCGAUACUGACGCUGAGGAGCGAAAGCCAGGGGAGCAAACGGG
Molecule: ribosomal RNA, 253 nt
Filed under: uncultured bacterium
Lineage: Bacteria
Description: partial 16S ribosomal RNA
Rfam family: Bacterial small subunit ribosomal RNA
Source: RNAcentral